UGGGGAAUUUUCCACAAUGGGCGAAAGCCUGAUGGAGCAACGCCGCGUGUGUGAUGAAGGUUUUCGGAUCGUAAAGCACUUUCGACCGGGACGAAAAACCUCUGGCUAACAUCCAGGGGCCUGACGGUACCGGGAGAAGAAGCACCGGCUAACUCUGUGCCAGCAGCCGCGGUAAUACAGAGGGUGCAAGCGUUGUUCGGAAUUAUUGCGCGUAAAGCGCGUGUAGGCGGCUUGGCAAGUCAGAUGUGAAAGCCCUCGGCUUAACCGGGGAAGUGCGUCUGAAACUGCUGAGCUGGGGUGUCGGGGAGGAUGGCGGAAUUCCGCAAGUGGAGGUGAAAUUCGUAGAUAUGCGGAGGAACACCGGUGGCGAAGGCGGCCAUCUGGACGACUACUGACGCGGAGACGCGAAAGGGUGGGGAGCAAACAGG
RNAcentral lists this ribosomal RNA (428 nucleotides) under Bacillota bacterium. RNAcentral describes it as "Firmicutes bacterium partial 16S ribosomal RNA". It matches the Rfam family "Bacterial small subunit ribosomal RNA", at positions 355 to 776 of the family's 1533-position model. The record is from RNAcentral. Lineage: Bacteria; Bacillati; Bacillota.